AACGAACGCUGGCGGCAUGCCUAACACAUGCAAGUCGAACGAUGCCUUCGGGCAUAGUGGCGCACGGGUGCGUAACACGUGGGAAUCUGCCCUUGGCUUCGGAAUAACAGUUAGAAAUGACUGCUAAUACCGGAUGAUGUCCCCCUGAGAGAUCUUGGGGACCAAAGAUUUAUCGGCCAGGGAUGAGCCCGCGUAGGAUUAGGUAGUUGGUGGGGUAAAGGCCUACCAAGCCGACGAUCCUUAGCUGGUCUGAGAGGAUGAUCAGCCACACUGGGACUGAGACACGGCCCAGACUCCUACGGGAGGCAGCAGUGGGGAAUAUUGGACAAUGGGGGGAACCCUGAUCCAGCAAUGCCGCGUGAGUGAUGAAGGCCUUAGGGUUGUAAAGCUCUUUUACCAGGGAUGAUAAUGACAGUACCUGGAGAAUAAGCUCCGGCUAACUCCGUG
RNAcentral lists this ribosomal RNA (447 nucleotides) under uncultured bacterium. Its description in RNAcentral is "partial 16S ribosomal RNA". It matches the Rfam family "Bacterial small subunit ribosomal RNA", at positions 29 to 507 of the family's 1533-position model. The record is from RNAcentral.